Uranotaenia lowii is the source of this 1318-nucleotide long non-coding RNA. RefSeq lists it as uncharacterized. The record is from RefSeq and is a predicted model, not a curated record. Lineage: Eukaryota; Metazoa; Arthropoda; Insecta; Diptera; Culicidae. The transcript is spliced from 4 exons.
ACCAAGUCGAAACUAAUCCUGCUGCCGAGCUGGAUUGGUUUCGACUAGUUUCAACUUGCUCCAUUGAACAACGACCUGACUUGUUUCGACCAAAACAUUGGCUCGUUGAACAUCUAUCAGUUGACAGAAACCAGUUGAAACCGAUUUUUACUAUAACGAUUGAACGAAGCUGAAUUUCUAGACAGACCGAAACAGAUCACGGGAAAAUUUAGACGCGUUCCGUAACGGGCUAGAAAAAAGCUUAUCUGGAUUCCGAAAAUUGGAAUAAAUCCACUUCCGAUACGACGUCGUCCCACAAGGAACCGUAUUACGAAAUGACGCUGGAAACGGAUCGCGGCAAGCGGUUCGAAUUUCGCUCACUUUGCAAACCGGAAAGAAGAACGAAUCGAGCAGUAGCAGUCCUCCGGCCAAAGCCAGCGGAACCAAGAGCGAACGGGAGAAGGCACCGUCGAUUAGCGAAGAUCCGGGAGACCACCGUCACAGGAAAACGGAACAGGAAGAGGAUGAGGAGCUGCUGGCUGAGGCGGCCACCAAGGCCAAAACGGUGUUCCGUUUCGAAGCGUCGCCACCGUACUUCAUGUUCGGCGAGAUGCGAGACUACCAGAUCCGUGGUUUAAAUUGGAUGAUUUCGCUGUACGAAAACGGAAUCAAUGGUAUUUUGGCCAAUGAGAUGGGUUUGGGAAAGACGUUACAGACGUUUUCUCUGCUUGGUUAUUUGAAGAAUUUUUGGAAUAGCCCGGGACCCCAUAUCGUUAUUGUUCCGAAAUCGACGCAGCAGAAUUGCUGGGGUUCCCGUCCGUUCACUGAUAAGGCUAGAACAGGCAAUCAAUGCCAUGGACGUAAGCCCGGAUCAUAUGAAAAUUGAACAUGCUUCAUCAGGAAGACGUCAGAAACAAAAAGAAAAAAUAAAAGCUGGACCCGUAGAUGCUUCGACCCAAAGUGUGCUUCCUACCCUUCUCGCCACUGCUGCUCAACUGAAUGCAAUCGACCUGCUGGAGUCGAUCGAUUAAUAUUUAUCAGGCUCCCGGUUGGCGUUCUUGACGUAGGUGUGGCCAUCGGGGAACGCUUCGACUCGUCCAGGACGUAGCCAACUUCAUCCUUUCUCCGCGCAUCUGAUACAAGCUGAACAUCACCAUUAGGGAGGCGAAGAGCCGAACGAUCACGGCCUUUCCAAUGAUAGGAUGUUCGCCUGCGCAACAGUUCAUUCCUCCAUGUUGGCGUUCAUAAUUAGAACGCAGCUGCCGUACGGAUGCUUACUGUCGUGCCCGUCCGUCGGCGUAAUGUGCUUGGUCUGGCUCAGAUCCAGGCCGUCCCUGAA